AUUGAACGCUGGCGGCAUGCCUUACACAUGCAAGUCGAACGGUAACGGGUCCUUCGGGAUGCCGACGAGUGGCGAACGGGUGAGUAAUAUAUCGGAACGUGCCCAGUAGUGGGGGAUAACUGCUCGAAAGAGCAGCUAAUACCGCAUACGACCUGAGGGUGAAAGGGGGGGAUCGCAAGACCUCUCGCUAUUGGAGCGGCCGAUAUCAGAUUAGCUAGUUGGUGGGGUAAAGGCCUACCAAGGCAACGAUCUGUAGUUGGUCUGAGAGGACGGCCAGCCACACUGGAACUGAGACACGGUCCAGACUCCUACGGGGGGCAGCAGUGGGGAAUUUUGGACAAUGGGGGCAACCCUGAUCCAGCAAUGCCGCGUGAGUGAAGAAGGCCUUCGGGUUGUAAAGCUCUUUUGUCAGGGAAGAAAAGGCUAUGGCUAAUAUCCACGGCUCAUGACGGUACCUGAAGAAUAAGCACCGGCUAACUACGUGCCAGCCGCCGCGGUAA
Molecule: ribosomal RNA, 500 nt
Filed under: uncultured bacterium
Lineage: Bacteria
Description: partial 16S ribosomal RNA
Rfam family: Bacterial small subunit ribosomal RNA
Source: RNAcentral